GUGGGGAAUCUUAGACAAUGGGGGAAACCCUGAUCUAGCCAUGCCGCGUGAGCGAUGAAGGCCUUAGGGUUGUAAAGCUCUUUCAGCUGGGAAGAUAAUGACGGUACCAGCAGAAGAAGCCCCGGCUAACUCCGUGCCAGCAGCCGCGGUAAUACGGAGGGGGCUAGCGUUGUUCGGAAUUACUGGGCGUAAAGCGCAUGUAGGCGGAUCAGAAAGUCAGAGGUGAAAUCCCAGGGCUCAACCUUGGAACUGCCUUUGAAACUCCUGGUCUUGAGGUCGAGAGAGGUGAGUGGAAUUCCGAGUGUAGAGGUGAAAUUCGUAGAUAUUCGGAGGAACACCAGUGGCGAAGGCGGCUCACUGGCUCGAUACUGACGCUGAGGUGCGAAAGCGUGGGGAGCAAACAGGAUUAGAUACCCGUGUAGUCC
Molecule: ribosomal RNA, 425 nt
Filed under: uncultured bacterium
Lineage: Bacteria
Description: partial 16S ribosomal RNA
Rfam family: Bacterial small subunit ribosomal RNA
Source: RNAcentral